This 261-nucleotide non-coding RNA is filed under the name Stegodyphus mimosarum. RNAcentral's name for it is "Eukaryotic large subunit ribosomal RNA". It matches the Rfam family "Eukaryotic large subunit ribosomal RNA", at positions 702 to 954 of the family's 3401-position model. The record is from Rfam by way of RNAcentral. Lineage: Eukaryota; Metazoa; Arthropoda; Arachnida; Araneae; Eresidae.
UUGCGCCUCUGGGCCUAAUCAAGACCCAUUGACUCGCGCACAUGUUAGACUUCUUGGUCCGUGUUCAAGGAGCACCAACGACCCGUCCUGUCCGAUUUAUCUCGGUUGGGCGGAGUAUGAGCGGGAUAUAAUAUAUACUAUGCCCGGGCAGGACGAGGCCAGAGGAAACUCUGGGGGAGGUCCGUAGCGGUUCUGACGUGCAAAUCGAUCGUCAGAUCCGGGCCUAGGAUCGAAAGACUAAUCGAACGAUCUAGUAGCUGG